Molecule: ribosomal RNA, 324 nt
Filed under: Salmonella enterica subsp. enterica serovar Tennessee
Lineage: Bacteria; Pseudomonadati; Pseudomonadota; Gammaproteobacteria; Enterobacterales; Enterobacteriaceae
Description: partial 23S ribosomal RNA
Rfam family: Bacterial large subunit ribosomal RNA
Source: RNAcentral
CUUGGGGUUGUGGGACGUCUCACAUGGAGUUACAAAGGUUCAGAUUAGACGAAGAGGUCUGGAAAGGCCCGCCAAAGAAGGUAAAAGCCCUGUAAUCGAAAGUGUGAACCCUCCGAGACGGAUCCCGAGUAGUGCGGGGCACGUGAAACCCCGUAUGAAUCUGCCAGGACCAUCUGGUAAGGCUAAAUACUCCCUAGUGACCGAUAGUGAAGCAGUACCGUGAGGGAAAGGUGAAAAGCACCCCGGAAGGGGAGUGAAAGAGAACCUGAAACCGUGUGCUUACAAGAAGUCAGAGCCCGAUCUAUGGGUGAUGGCGUGCCUUUU